RNAcentral lists this non-coding RNA (765 nucleotides) under Vignadula atrata. The record is from RNAcentral. Lineage: Eukaryota; Metazoa; Mollusca; Bivalvia; Mytilida; Modiolidae.
GGAGUAUUUGAUUAUGGUUCUUCAUUCCGUUUUUUUGUACAUCACAUGAUGCUUUAGGGGCUUAGGUGUGUUACACCAACAUCAGUGUAAAAUUUUUAACAACUUAGUAAAUUAAGGUUGAGUGGAAAAGACCGAAGCGGCUAAUAAUGGAUGCCAGCAGUCGCGGUUAGAUCUGUGUCUUUUAGGAAUGGGUUCGGUUAGGUUAGAAGCUUGAGGCAUUUAUGGGUGGUAUUCCUUUCUUUGGGUGUAAUCUGGAUUGGUGAAUGUGCUUAUACCUAUUCAGAGGUUUCUUACGUAAGUAUGGAUUAAAACCGGGAUUAGAGACCCCGUUAUUCAUAAAGUAAAGCAUGCAAUACCAGGUCACUAAAAGUUUGUUCUAAAAAGUUAAAUAAUUAGGCGGUCCUCAACAAACUAACAGGGGAAUCUGAGGGUUAAAAGAAGGUCCGCUUACAUUUGUUCCUUUCUUUAAAAUGCAUGUGUAUGGUUGUUUAUAAUCCAUAUAAUGAAGUAUGGGUGUAGUGUAGUCUUUAUAAAAUAAUUCAGAUUAACAUGCAGCUAUAGAAAGGCCACUUUGGAUGACAGUUGAUAGCUUCAAGUCAGACCAAGCAAGGAAACAUGUUUGUAAAGACGGACUUGUCAGUAAGUUUUUUAAAUAAUAAAAAACUGAACUGGAAAAUGGGGGAGUACGAAUCGCCCGUCGCUCACGGAGAAAUCUGAGAUAAGUCGUAACAAGGUAAUGAUACCGGAAGGUGUUGUUAGAUUAUA